RNAcentral lists this long non-coding RNA (1381 nucleotides) under Monodelphis domestica (gray short-tailed opossum). RNAcentral describes it as "lncRNA (ENSMODG00000045489.1)". The record is from RNAcentral. Lineage: Eukaryota; Metazoa; Chordata; Mammalia; Didelphimorphia; Didelphidae.
GAUUAGCAUAAUAGUAUAGAAACAAGGAAACUUUUCGGAGCUGUCAAUCAGAGGCCAAUCAGCUGACUGUCAGCUGGGACUAGGAUUUUUAACCCUUCCCUUGACACAUCCUUCCGGAGAAUGGAAGGGAGUAGUUUUAAUUAAAGGGAGAGAAUUGAUAAAAAGAGGGGUUGGACCUGGGGGAGCCCAAGGCACACUACUUUCCCUUGGCUUUAGAAUUCCAAAGAUUUCCACGAUUCAGGGACAGGGGACUUUCCUGACUUUCACUGGCCAUUUCUUUUUCGGAUCUUUUCCUCUUGCUUUGUAGGAGCCUUGGGUCUGCUAUCCACUCAGCCCGAGUGCUCUCUGUGCAGGCCAGUUGCCUCAGGGCAUCCUCCUCCUGUGCAUCUCGUCCGUCCUCCCAAACCUCGGUACCCGGAGCCCAAACUCUCUUCUGUGCCGACUUUGGAGUAGCCUCUGCAGUCUCAGGUCCCUCUGACUGCAGUAGAUCAGGGCAGUUUGCUCACUACCCAACUACCCAGCUUUCCUAGCUUGCCGCUCUCCAUCCUGUUUCUUAAUCUUUCCUCCUUGUCUGCCUCUGCCUUUUUUUCCCUACCUGUAUUGUCCCCUGCCUUUUUAGCCUGCCUACCUGAUUUAGGCUUGGGAACCCAGGCCUGGGCGCGGAAUGGGAGUCUAUAGGUUGGAUAGGAAUAGGUUCAGGAAGCCAGCAAAUGGAAUUUUGUACUGGGACCAUAAUCUGCCAGCAGCAUUUGCAGCACCUUGGGGAGGAUCAAGGAGUUCCGAGGUGUCAAUCCCCUUGGUUACAUUUUAUUUUUCUCUUUUAAAAACAUUUCUGAGGAAUCCGGGGCCCAAAGGUUGUACUAGUUGGACUGUUGAUGCCCCGUGUGUGUGUGUGUGUGUGUGUGUGUGUGUGUGUGUGUGUGAGAGAGAGAGAGAGAGAGAGAGAGAGAGAGAGAGAGAGAGAGAGAGAGAGAGAGCAAGAGCGAGUGAGCUCAAGAACAGCUCCAGAGUUGCAGUAGCUGAACUCGGAAUGAGCUCCCUUCUAGACUUUGACUGUAGUGUGAGCUUUUACCACCUCCACCCUUUUUCUUUUUUCUUUUCUCCACUUUUUCUUCCUCCCCAUUUCUUUUUCUCUCUGUCUCUGUCUGGCUCGGUACCUUUCUCUCACACACACCCAGGACGAGAAAAAGGAGCGAGUGAAAACCAUUGUUGGAUGCAUUUGGUUUUAACCUCGACAGCGCCACCUUUCGGCAAAGCUGUUCCCGGUUGCAAGUUGAAGCCUCUUUCCCUUUGAAGACACAUCCUUUAUAAUUUUUAUUAGAGGUCAGCAAGCCUCUUCACCUAUGGACAAAACCAAGACAGUGUGUUCCCUCUAUGCAAG